CCUACGGGCGGCAGCAGUGGGGAAUAUUGGGCAAUGGGCGCAAGCCUGACCCAGCAACGCCGCGUGAAGGAAGAAGGCUUUCGGGUUGUAAACUUCUUUUGACAGGGAAGAGUAACAGACGGUACCUGUUGCCUCAUCCACGGCUAACUCCGUGCCAGCAGCCGCGGUAAUACGUAGGUGGCAAGCGUUUUCCGGAUUUACUGGGUGUAAAGGGCGUGUAGCCGGGUUGACAAGUCAGAUGUGAAAUCCUGCGGCUCAACCGAUGAACUGCAUUUGAAACUGUUGUUCUUGAGUACUGGAGAGGCAGACGGAAUUCCCGGUGUAGCGGUGAAAUGCGUAGAUAUCAGGAGGAACACCAGUGGCGAAGGCGGACUGCUGGACAGUAACUGACGGUGAGGCGCGAAAGCGUGGGGAGCAAACAGGAUUAGAUACCCGAGUAGUC
RNAcentral lists this ribosomal RNA (442 nucleotides) under uncultured bacterium. RNAcentral describes it as "partial 16S ribosomal RNA". It matches the Rfam family "Bacterial small subunit ribosomal RNA", at positions 338 to 795 of the family's 1533-position model. The record is from RNAcentral.